Molecule: ribosomal RNA, 379 nt
Filed under: uncultured bacterium
Lineage: Bacteria
Description: bacterial SSU rRNA
Rfam family: Bacterial small subunit ribosomal RNA
Source: RNAcentral
AUUGAACGCUGGCGGCAUGCCUUACACAUGCAAGUCGAACGGCAGCACGGGAGCAAUCCUGGUGGCGAGUGGCGAACGGGUGAGUAAUAUAUCGGAACGUGCCCAGUCGUGGGGGAUAACGUAGCGAAAGCUACGCUAAUACCGCAUACGAUCUAUGGAUGAAAGCGGGGGAUCGCAAGACCUCGCGCGAUUGGAGCGGCCGAUAUCAGAUUAGGUAGUUGGUGAGGUAAAGGCUCGCCAAGCCGACGAUCUGUAGCUGGUCUGAGAGGACGACCAGCCACACUGGGACUGAGACACGGCCCAGACUCCUACGGGAGGCAGCAGUGGGGAAUUUUGGACAAUGGGCGCGAAGCCUGAUCCAGCAAUGCGCGUGCAGGAU